GUGCUUCCUCGGUCUCGGUUCGAGGCGGGGGCACGGGGAGGGUCCGGACGGGCGGGCGGGAACAGCAGCCCUUUCCCUGUGAGUGCGCGGGGAGGCCGCGGAAUGGCAAAACAAAAUCACACCCUUCACUUUAUUUCUAGCAGAUAUAAAAGCACAGAUUGCCUUAGACACUGGAGAGCUAUGCGGAGAUUUUACUUUGCAAAUGGAGCAGCAUGCUGGCAGUAUAAAGGACUGAAGACUUUGAAGAGCUCUUUUGAGGAUAGAAGUCAGCUCAUGGUCUCCUUCAGACUGCAAUCUUAUUCAUUGUUCUUUCCAUGUUUUUUUUUUUUAAACACUUACCAAGAUGAAUUUCAAUUUAAGAAAGACUCCCAGUUAUCUGGAUAUACAUUAUAUAGAUAGGUAACACAGCUACAGUUAAUGCACUUUUUAUACCUCAAUAUAAUGCAAAAUACUACAAAAAAUACCUUUACAUUGGAGGCUUAAAUUAUCCAGACAAACAGAAAUAUUCCACAAAUCCAGUUACCUCACUAGCACCUUAACAAAACUUUAACUACUGUGUGCAAUAAAUAGUCUCUGCAGAUGGCAGAUGAGGUAAGCUUUUGGGGCAUUGCUGUUUAUAUAGUGCAGAAGAUUUUAAUCUCUAGCUCUACCAGACCAUUACUUAGAAAAUAAAAUAAUAAAUCAUAUCAAUGUUUUGAAAAUAAAUUGUUCAUAACACUGUAUUACCUGGAGUGAUGCCAUAUUUUACAUACCAUUGAGAAUGGCUUCUAGUAAGACAUAGUUUCAGAACAGAAAAUAUUUGUUGUUGUAUCUAUCUUAUCUAUUUGUAUGUUUCUAUAUUUCACUAGCCUUUGGAUCUUAAAGCAUAAGAGAAAUCUGACAUGGUUGAACAUAUUUAUGAGUGAUUAAUGAUACCUCAGUGCAGGUAAUUGAGUUAGUUGUCAUUAACCUAAAUGUGCCAGCUCAAAUAACAAUCACUGGAUAAUUAUCUACAUUUCUCCUGAGGGGUUUUUUAGGUGUCUUUAAAUAACCUUGCUGUUGCCCCUUUGCUUCUUGGAUGUCUAUGUAGGUCUUAACUGAAAGGUUGGGUUUUUUCUAUGUACUAACCAUUUUUUAAUUAGUUUUGAGAAAAUACUUGCCAGAUGUCUAUGGUAACAAUGAAAGGAGAUAUGCUAAAACUGUUAAGUGGGUUUAAAUGAGACCUUAGACCCCAUCUUUGAAUUUCCCCCUAAUAAUUAGGUGUAGGAAAACAGUGAUUUAACAUUCAUUGCUUGUACUUAAUUGUAUUAAGCAGUGACUGGUGGUAGUUCCCACCUCACCCCUAAAUUCUGCCCUAUUUUCUGAGAGACCUGAUGACUAAGCUGUGGAAAUGGUUUCUAAUGGGAUACACUCUAAAAGGUUAAUUUUUCCUAGUGUGAAAUAUAGAAAGAGAAUUAACAGUAAACUUUAUAUUAUUUUGAGAAAGUCUGGCAGUAGUCUUUUCUGCUUCUUGGAGGGGUUGCGCUGCUGCUACAUUCUAAGUAUGUAACAGGUACUUCCCUUACUCAGUUUUAAGGUAAAACUUCAAAAUAGUCCCAGAUUUCAGAAAAGUAACUGCAGACAUGCUGAAAAGAAGGGAGGUCAAAUGGGGCUUUUUGUUACAAAAACCUUGAAAGAAGAAUAGUUACUGACAGAGGAGAUAGAAGAUAAAAAGAGAAGAGUAGUGAUACCAAAUUAUCCUUUGCAUACACUCCAUAAUUGACUAUAGAUAUAAAUGAUUUGUUUGCCAGGAACAAGACAAAAUCUGCCACCAAGGUAUACCGAACAGGCAAUUGUUUAACUGACUUCUCAAGGCCAUUUAUUCUAUGAUAACAUUGCUUUCUAAGGUAACUGCAGCCAGGUACACUUGAACAGAGAGGCAUUUCUUGAAGCCAGACCAAAUCAUGCUGUGACAGCUGUGAGUAAAGAAGCAGAUUUAUGUUUUAAAGUGUGGGAAACAAGAACUGAAAAAUAACCAGUUGAAAAAGUGGCAACAUUUAGCCAUGAUUUGUCUAAGGGUAAGUUUUCCAGUGUCGUACCAGGCUUAGAGUACUUUUUUAUGGGUCAAGUCAUGCCUUCAUGCCUCUUUAAAAUCCAGAUACCUGGAUUUGCUAUAGGCUAACUCAUGAUGGGUUCCUUCCAAGCUAAUUGUUACACACAGAAAAUGAAAACUAUAAUAAAAUUUCAUAUUCUGCACAAAGAUGUAGCCUUAGAAUGAAAGGAAGAUUAUUAAGCCACAAAUAUAUAACACAACCAAGAGUAUGUGCCACAACAAGCAGUGUGUUGCAGGAUAGAUGCCAGCUCUUGCUUUGCUUCACUCAGUAAAAUCAAUCAUCUGUUAAAAAUUAAUACAAAAGAAUGAAAUCAUGACAUUGUAAGAGAGACAGUGAAAGAAAUAAAAUGUUUCGAUUAAGUAUUCACUUCGUACUAUAGGUUUAUUACCAAGUAUUUAUUUACUAACUAACUGAGCAAUGUAACAAAGAUAAGGCAUUUUUUACUCUAUUCCUACCAUGGUCCACAGACUCUGGUAAACUCUCCAUUUCUCUAAGACUAAAAAUCUUUAAAGAUAAUCAGUUGUGGAUAUAGAACAAAUUAGAUCUUCCAACUCACCAUAGUAUAACACCUUUAUUGAACUGCCAGUCAAUAUGACCCUGGAUUUUAGGACCAUGAACUUCCAGUAGUUCGAGGAGUUAGUGAAUGGGACCCGCUGUGAAAUUGCCCUCAGGGAUAUUAAAGCAGAACAGAGCUGGCACUUGUCUUAGAGCACAAGAGUUUUUGACUCGUAUCUGUAAGAAAUCAGGCAGGGAAGGCAGGAGACAAGUGUGGCUGAGUGAAGACCUUCUAGUCAACCCAAAAUGUAAGCAGGAAAUGCAUGGGCAGUGGAACCAAGGACUCAUAUCCUGGAAGGAAAAUAAGGACACUGCAUGGAUGUGCAUAGUUGUGAUCAGGGAAACUAUUUGGCAAAGAAUGUGAAGUACAAUAAGGGGACUUCUACAGGUAUGUUGGUCAGAAAGGAAGGUUAAAGAAAAUGUACUUAUGGAUGAAAAAUUGGAUAUGAACUGGCAAUAUGUGCUUUCAGCCAAGAAAACCAGACAUAUUCUGGUAUGCAUAAAAAUCAGCAUGGCUGUCAGGGCAAGGGCAGGUGAUUCUGCCUCUCUACUCUAUGCUUCUGAGAUCCUACAUGGAGUACAUAGUCUAGCUCUGGGGUCGGCAGUACAAGAAAGACAUGACCUUAACUAUGAGUGGGUCUAGAGGAGGGCCACGAGAAAUGGUCAAGAGGGUUGAAACACCUCUCCUAUGAAGAGAGGCUGAGAGACCUGGGGUUGUUUAGCCUGGAGGAAAAAAGGCCCCAGGGAGACCUAAUUGCAACCUUUCAAUAUGUAAAAGGAGCUUAUAAGAGAGGCAAACGAGACCUGUGGUGACAGGACAAGGGGCAAUCAUUUUAAACUGGAAGACUUGAUUCAGAUCAGAUAUAAGGAAGAAGUUUUUUAUGAUGAAUAUGGUGAGGCGCUGGAACAAGGUGCCCUGAGAAAUUGUGGAUGCAACAUCACUAGAAGUGUUCAACAUGAAGUCAGAUGGGUCUUUGAGCAGCCUGGUCUAGGGAAAGAUGUCCCUAGACCCCCAUGACAGGGGUAGGUGGACUAGAUGAUAUUCGAAGGUACCUUCCAACCAAACCCAUUUUGUUAUUUUGUGAUUCCAUGAUUCUAUGAUUCAAUUAUUUUAAGAAUAUUUAUUUGUCUUCUAGAGAGCAAAAGAGUCACUAGGAAUCGUGAGAAAGCAGAAUUCUCAAACUAUUUCCCUUUUCCAGAAUAAAGGAGCCAGGAUCCCACCAACAUGAAAUGUUCAAGGAUGAUGUGCAAGUUGCUGUUUUUUUGAAAAGACAGCAACCAGUUCAGACAUCCACUUUCACUUUGACAUCUUACAAAGGAACCCAUCUUUUGCCUGUGGUCUCUAAAGAAAGAUAUCUAACCAUUUUUUUCAGACAUUUACAGCAUUCUCUCUAAACAGAUCCUUAGAAAUGCAGUUAGUCCUUAAAACAGGAACACAUCUUUCCCAUUCUUGUAAUAUAUUUACUCAUUCUCUGGUUCACUUCCUUUAUAUCUCAUCAAUACUUGCUUGCAAGAUUAAAAAACAGCAGGAAAAAGUGCUGAAGUCUGGCAGAUGGCCUUCAGGUUAAUUAUUAGCAGAAGUCAUUGCCCCUCAAAUGAACAAUGAUCACCUGCAGAGAAUGAUAGCAAGCCGUUGAGUGAUUUUAGAGUAUGUUUGGGAUGUAACUCCACAGGAGCCACCGAAACCAGCUUUUUCCUGGCUCACAUGCAGAAAACUGACUGGUAUGCGAGCCUGCUUGAGAUUCCCUCAUGCAUGACGUGCUCGUUUCUGUAGCCCAUGAACCCAGGUUUCCAGAAACAGAAUCCUUUCUCUUGAUCCUGCAACAGAUCAGGAGAAACCUAGAUGCUUCCUCCACUGCCAGGCAAGUCAGUCCUCCUUUGCCGGUUGUAUAGUGUUUUUACUGAGGUUUUGGAAAGUGUGCCCAGGGAUGUUUCCACCAUGAUUCUGGACUGCUCUGGAUGUAGAAGGUACAGCGAUACUUACUCAGACCCCUCAGGAAAACAGUAGAGGAGACCCAUAACCUUGACUGCAAAGAUGUUACAACAAAGCAGAGAACCUGGAGGACUCAAGACAUUUUGUAGGAAAAAACCCACUCCACACAAUGACAAUUUAAAGACAUAAAGUUGGUGACUGACAAGGUAUUCUACAAGAUGUCUUCAAGAAUGUCACUUGGUUUUAAAAAAGAAAUAACAGAAAUAUUCCAGUUUUUCCUCUCAGAGGCAGAGCAAUCCCAGAAACUUGUAAGGUACCAUGGUCCCAAAAGGCACAAAAUGGUUGAUGAAGAAGAAAAGAAAGCAUACCUUUUCUAAAAACAUAAGCAAAAGACUUAACAAUCAGAAAAGCAUAUUAAAUACCAACUGAAAUUGAAAACUAACAAGUUUUGAAGUUGACUUAUAGCUGUGCUCAUUGAGAAGACUCAGGGAUUCAGAGACUCUCUAGCAGAACUCAAUCAUGCUUAUUUUAGUCCAAAAGAAGCUUUGAUACAGAGAGGAGAAAUAUUUGAUCCAGUUUACUCUAUUUUAAAGGCAGUGAAUGACGAAAAUGAACCUCUUUCAUAAGAAUGUGUGUCAGUGAAAAUGCAAAGCAGCAUGAUCCUCUUGUCCUCUCAGUGUGUCUUCUGUGCAUGCCAUAUACAUACACACAGACACACACA
Cuculus canorus (common cuckoo) is the source of this 5281-nucleotide long non-coding RNA. RefSeq lists it as uncharacterized. The transcript has 4 exons. NCBI's taxonomy places the organism in Eukaryota, Metazoa, Chordata, Aves, Cuculiformes, Cuculidae. The record is from RefSeq and is a predicted model, not a curated record.